GUAGUCAUAUGCUUGUCUCAAAGAUUAAGCCAUGCAUGUCUAAGUAUAAGCAACUUGUACUGUGAAACUGCGAAUGGCUCAUUAAAUCAGUUAUCGUUUAUUUGAUAGUACCUUACUACAUGGAUACCUGUGGUAAUUCUAGAGCUAAUACAUGCUAAAAACCCCGACUUCAGGAAGGGGUGUAUUUAUUAGAUAAAAAACCAACGCCCUUCGGGGCUCCUUGGUGAAUCAUAAUAACUUAACGAAUCGCAUGGCCUUGCGCCGGCGAUGGUUCAUUCAAAUUUCUGCCCUAUCAACUUUCGAUGGUAGGAUAGUGGCCUACCAUGGUGGCAACGGGUAACGGGGAAUUAGGGUUCGAUUCCGGAGAGGGAGCCUGAGAAACGGCUACCACAUCCAAGGAAGGCAGCAGGCGCGCAAAUUACCCAAUCCCGAUACGGGGAGGUAGUGACAAUAAAUACUGAUACGGGGCUCUUUUGGUCUCGUAAUUGGAAUGAGAACAAUUUAAAUCCCUUAACGAGGA
Molecule: ribosomal RNA, 520 nt
Filed under: uncultured Trichocomaceae
Lineage: Eukaryota; Fungi; Ascomycota; Eurotiomycetes; Eurotiales; Trichocomaceae
Description: SSU rRNA
Rfam family: Eukaryotic small subunit ribosomal RNA
Source: RNAcentral